CCUACGGGAGGCAGCAGUGGGGAAUAUUGCACAAUGGGGGAAACCCUGAUGCAGCGACGCCGCGUGAGUGAAGAAGUAAUUCGUUAUGUAAAGCUCUAUCAGCAGGGAAGAAAAUGACGGUACCUGAGUAAGAAGCCCCGGCUAACUACGUGCCAGCAGCCGCGGUAAGACGUAGGGGGCAAGCGUUAUCCGGAUUUACUGGGUGUAAAGGGAGCGUAGACGGCAGUGCAAGUCUGGAGUGAAAGGCGGGGGCUCAACCCCCGGACUGCUCUGGAAACUGUACGGCUGGAGUGCAGGAGAGGUAAGUGGAAUUCCUAGUGUAGCGGUGAAAUGCGUAGAUAUUAGGAGGAACACCAGUGGCGAAGGCGGCUUACUGGACUGUAACUGACGUUGAGGCUCGAAAGCGUGGGGAGCAAACAGGAUUAGAGACCCCAGUAGUC
RNAcentral lists this ribosomal RNA (440 nucleotides) under uncultured bacterium. Its description in RNAcentral is "partial 16S ribosomal RNA". It matches the Rfam family "Bacterial small subunit ribosomal RNA", at positions 338 to 795 of the family's 1533-position model. The record is from RNAcentral.